This 77-nucleotide transfer RNA is filed under the name Deltaproteobacteria bacterium. RNAcentral describes it as "tRNA-Ile". It matches the Rfam family "tRNA". Rfam says of the family: Transfer RNA (tRNA) molecules are approximately 80 nucleotides in length. Their secondary structure includes four short double-helical elements and three loops (D, anti-codon, and T loops). RNAcentral also lists the same sequence under 1 other name. The record is from RNAcentral. Lineage: Bacteria; Pseudomonadati; Myxococcota; Myxococcia.
GGGCCACUAGCUCAGUCGGUUAGAGCGCAGUCCUGAUAAGACUGAGGUCCCAAGUUCGAUUCUUGGGUGGCCCACCA